Molecule: ribosomal RNA, 644 nt
Filed under: uncultured Bacteroides sp.
Lineage: Bacteria; Pseudomonadati; Bacteroidota; Bacteroidia; Bacteroidales; Bacteroidaceae
Description: bacterial SSU rRNA
Rfam family: Bacterial small subunit ribosomal RNA
Source: RNAcentral
GAUGAACGCUAGCUACAGGCUUAACACAUGCAAGUCGAGGGGCAGCAUUAUCUUAGCUUGCUAAGAUAGAUGGCGACCGGCGCACGGGUGAGUAACACGUAUCCAACCUUCCGGUUACUCGGGGAUAGGCUUUCGAAAGAAAGAUUAAUACCCGAUGUUGCGUAUCUUUCUCCUGAAAGAUACGCCAAAGGAUUCCGGUAACCGAUGGGGAUGCGUUCCGUUAGGCAGUUGGCGGGGUAACGGCCCACCAAACCUUCGAUGGAUAGGGGUUCUGAGAGGAAGGUCCCCCACAUUGGAACUGAGACACGGUCCAAACUCCUACGGGAGGCAGCAGUGAGGAAUAUUGGUCAAUGGACGGAAGUCUGAACCAGCCAAGUAGCGUGAAGGAUGACUGCCCUCUGGGUUGUAAACUUCUUUUAUACGGGAAUAACAUGAGGUACGCGUACCUUAUUGCAUGUACCGUUAUGAAUAAGCAUCGGCUAACUCCGUGCCAGCAGCCGCGGUAAUACGGAGGAUGCGAGCGUUAUCCGGAUUUAUUGGGUUUAAAGGGAGCGUANGUGGGAUAUUAAGUCAGCUGUGAAAGUUUGGGGCUCAACCUUAAAAUUGCAGUUGAUACUGGUUUCCUUGAGUACGGUACAGGUGGG